This 254-nucleotide ribosomal RNA is filed under the name uncultured bacterium. RNAcentral describes it as "partial 16S ribosomal RNA". It matches the Rfam family "Bacterial small subunit ribosomal RNA", at positions 524 to 776 of the family's 1533-position model. The record is from RNAcentral.
UACGAAGGGGGCUAGCGUUGUUCGGAAUUACUGGGCGUAAAGCGCACGUAGGCGGACUCUUAAGUCAGGGGUGAAAUCCCGGGGCUCAACCUCGGAACUGCCUUUGAUACUGGCGAUCUUCGAGUCCGGGAGAGGUGAGUGGAACUCCGAGUGUAGAGGUGAAAUUCGUAGAUAUUCGGAAGAGCACCAGUGGCGAAGGCGGCUCACUGGCCCGGUACUGACGCUGAAAUACGAAAGCGUGGGGAGCAAACAGG